UAAUUUUGACAAUGGGGGAAACGCUGAUCCCGCCCUCCCGCGUGUAUGAUGAAGGCCCUCGGGUUGUAUAGUACUUUUGGCAGAGUAGAAAAGGAAUCUCCCAAUACGAGAUACUGCUGACGGUACCAGCAGAAUAAGCACCGGCUAACUUCGUGCCAGCAGCCGCGGUAAUACGUAGGGUGCAAGCGUUAAUCAGAAUUACUGGGCGUAAAGCGUGUAUAGGCGGUCCGGAAAGAAAGAUGUGAAAGCAGCGCGCACAACCUUGGAACUGCAGUAUUAACUGCCGAGCUAGAGGAUAGCAGAGGGGGGAAGAAGUCCACGUGUAGCAGUGAAAAGCGUAGAUAUGUGGAGGAAUAACGAUGACGAAGGCAGCCCCCUGGGAUAAUACUGACGCUCAGACACGAAAGCGGGAGGAGCAAAC
Molecule: ribosomal RNA, 421 nt
Filed under: uncultured bacterium
Lineage: Bacteria
Description: partial 16S ribosomal RNA
Rfam family: Bacterial small subunit ribosomal RNA
Source: RNAcentral